ACGGCUCAGUAACACGUGGCUAACCUGCCCUUGGGACGGGACCAACCCCGGGAAACUGGGGCUAAUCCCCGAUAGGUGAAGAACUCUGGAAUGAGUCUUCGCCCAAAAGGCGUCAGAUCAUGCUUCUGGCGUCGCCCAGGGAUGGGGCCGCGACCGAUCAGGCUGUUGGUGAGGUAAUGGCCCACCAAACCUAUAACCGGUGCGGGCCGUGAGAGCGGGAGCCCGGAGAUGGGCACUGAGACAAGGGCCCAGGUCCUACGGGGCGCAGCAGUCGCGAAACCUUUGCAAUACACGAAAGUGUGACAGGGUCAUCCCGAGUGCCGACCGCUGAGGUUGGCUUUUACCCAGUCUAGAACGCUGGGGGAAUAAGGAGAGGGCAAGUCUGGUGUCAGCCGCCGCGGUAAUACCAGCUCUCCGAGUGGUGUGGACGUUUAUUGGGCCUAAAGCAUCCGUAGCUGGCUGAACAAGUCCCCUGUUAAACCCACCGAUUUAAUCGUUGGUCUGCGGGGGAUACUGCUCGGCUAGGGGACGAGAGAGGCAGACGGUAUUCCCGGGGUAGGGGUGAAAUCCUAUAAUCCCGAGAAGACCACCAGUGGCGAAGGCUGUCUGCUGGAACGCGCCCGACGGUGAGGGAUGAAAGCUGGGGGAGCGAACCGGAUUAGAUACCCGGGUAGUCCCAGCUGUAAACGAUGCAGACUAGGUGUUUGGACGGCCACGUGCCGUUCUAGUGCCGCAGGGAAGCUGUUAAGUCUGCCGCCUGGGGAGUACGAUCGCAAGAUUGAAACUUAAAGGAAUUGGCGGGGGAGCAC
RNAcentral lists this ribosomal RNA (809 nucleotides) under uncultured archaeon. RNAcentral's name for it is "bacterial SSU rRNA". It matches the Rfam family "Archaeal small subunit ribosomal RNA", at positions 85 to 879 of the family's 1478-position model. The record is from RNAcentral.